RNAcentral lists this long non-coding RNA (2517 nucleotides) under Marmota monax (woodchuck). The record is from RNAcentral. Lineage: Eukaryota; Metazoa; Chordata; Mammalia; Rodentia; Sciuridae.
GUGACGGAACGUUAGGUUUGUCACCGAAUUUCCUCCUUCAUCUGUGAGUGUGUGUGAAUGUGUGUGUAUGUAAAUGUAUGUGUAUAUGUAAAAAUGUAUAUAGAAGUCUGAGUGUCGUCUGGAGACCUCUAUGUAUGGAUAAAAAUUUUCGGUUAACGUUCGUGCUCAGAAACCCUUUGCAUAUGCAUUCAUAUUGAGUGUGGCUCAUUUUCUUUCCCUGAACACCGUAACUGUUCAGAAGCACAAAACUAUCUCCUAAAAGAGAUGACAGACAUUCCCUAGCAUAAAAAAAGAAAAAAGAAAAAAAAAAAAAAAGCUUGUGAAAUAUUUUACAGUUUCCAAGCUUGCUAUACUUUAAAAUUAUUUUCAUUGGUGAAAAUGGAGUUGGAAGAAUAUGGAUUUAAAAUGGUUUUUUGAUAGUUGACAAUGUGGUGUUCCAGUAUCACAUCAGUAAUUGAUGGGAUCAGCUUAAAAUUCCUGAUGUUGAUUUGGGGAUACAGUCUGUAAAUGUUUUUCAAGAACAUCUUGCACACAAUUUGUAUUAUGUAGAAUGUCAAUCAAAAUUCUUUUGUAUAUUUAAAGCUUAAACAUCAGUUUCUCCCCCUUCCCCCCAAUUUCAUCAAGUUUUCUGCCAAGUGCUCUUGAUGAUUUCUUUAAAUUGCUUUUGGGUAAAAAAAACAAAAAUCAAACAGUAUCUAAAUGCAACCCAUGCCCUUGUUAAUGAACAAGAUUGCCAGAAUGUACCUGUUGUUCUAACAAUAUAGAUAUAUAAAUCUUAGAAAUUUCCACCCAAGACUUAAAGGAAGAAUUCUCUGAAAGGAUAAAGAUUAUUUUUAAAAAUUUUUUAAUGGGGUGCCUUUUUUUUUUUUUUUUUCUUUUCUAUUUCUGUUUUGUAGGACAACCUACAUCUUCUGUAAAUAUAGGUCUGGACUAAAGGACACUUAGAGUGUCACAAAAUAUCAACAUCAGUAGAGAUGCCCAGAUCUAUUUAUCUCUGAGUAUAUUUAAAGUGGUUUGCUGUUAUAUGUUGUCAUUUUAAAUUGUGUGUCAGUAAAGCUACCUGUAAAAUUUCAGUCCAAAAAAAUAAAGCUCUCAGGGAGAAAUGAAUAAAAACAAUGAACAUUAGAAAAUAAAAUAUAGAUGCUUACCAUUAACCUACCAACUUUCAAUAUCCUUAAAUUAUAUGAUAUAUAAAGAGGACUGUUACUUUUUUUUUUUUUUUUUUUUUUGCUUUAUUUAUUUGUAGUGGGGUGGGAGGUGGGGUGGGGCUGACAUUUUCUCUUUUCUUUCCAUCUAUCCUGUCGUGGUUGGGUUUCCUGUGGAGAGAGUAGUUUUUCCUGUUGCACUAGAACAUUAUUUACUCACAAAAUUGAGUUCUUCAGUCAACUAACAAAUAUUUAUUAAGUAUCUACUAUGUACCAGGCAUAGUAGAUCUACAGUGAUGAGCAAGACAGAGUCCCUGCCCACAAGGAGCUUACGUUCUAAUCAGAAUAUUCAGGGAUGAAUAAAAAAAUCAAUGUGCGUGCUGUACAGAACUCAUACUAUUUAAAAAUGAUUUGUCUAAACUACAAUGCUUAGUGCAGAUGGCGAAGUAUCUGUGCUGUACGAAAGCUGUGAAAUAAUGCUCUAAGAGUUGUCAAGAGCUGUGGUUUUACAUUUUUUCCUCAUUGCAAACUUAGCGACUUUCCACCCAUUCGAUGGAAGCAAAUGACUCUUGCAAAUGACAGUUAUAAAUACAAAGCAGAGGUUACACUCCCCCAGCUCCUAGUUAACCAAGGUCUGCAACUACACCAUGUUAAAGGUGCAAUUGGAGACUAGGCUCAAACAGGCUUGGAGAGGAGGGGGAGUGGAAUAGGAUGAUGGUUUUCUCUGUUCCUUAACUAAAGUGCCUCUAUGUACAUUUUUUUUCUAUUUAUAGUAGGAGAAAUUUGGUCUGGCUCAAUUUUGGAACUGUACUUUGAAAAUGGCUUUGUCUUACAGUUUAAGGAAUGAACUAGUGGAAGGAGAGUCACAAAAGGAGCAAGUUUGUGUAGCAUGUCCCUCUUGCCCUUGGUAAUCAUCCUCAUUUUGUCAUGGCCAUCCUGGUAGGCCUCCUUUGCCAUUUCCAUUUUUUGGUUUCUUUCCCUGAAAACUGUGUGCAGGUAAUUCCAUGUGCCAUUGUUGAAAACAAAACAAACAAACAAACAAAAAAAAAAAAAACUACUUUUUAGAUUGGUGCUGGUGUAAAGUAGCCACUUUUCUCUCUUGGGUGUGUAUUUUAAAGUUUUUGUUUGUUUUUUUUAAAUUAAUGCCAAAAAGAAAAAGCAUUAUAAUUUGUAAACUUAAUUAUAUGUCUUGUAUCUUAUUAGCUUAGUAGUUGGAACCACUUAGUCUCUAGGUGCAAGACUGUUGUUACAGUACCAAGAAAAAAAAUGUCGUAUGUGUUAUGAGACUGUACAUUUUUUUAAAUAGCAAUAUGCAAUAAAGAUGACUUCAUUGGGUGUACAUAUAUGCUUUCUAUGAAUUAUUAAAAUGCCA